CGACGGCAGCACGGGAGCAAUCCUGGUGGCGAGUGGCGAACGCGUGAGUAAUGUAUCGGAACGUACCUUUCAGUGGGGGAUAACGUAGCGAAAGUUACGCUAAUACCGCAUAUUCUGUGAGCAGGAAAGCAGGGGAUCGCAAGACCUUGCGCUGAUUGAGCGGCCGAUAUCAGAUUAGCUAGUUGGUGAGGUAAAGGCUCACCAAGGCGACGAUCUGUAGCGGGUCUGAGAGGAUGAUCCGCCACACUGGAACUGAGACACGGUCCAGACUCCUACGGGAGGCAGCAGUGGGGAAUUUUGGACAAUGGGGGCAACCCUGAUCCAGCCAUGCCGCGUGAGUGAAGAAGGCCUUCGGGUUGUAAAGCUCUUUCAGCCGGGAAGAAAUCACAUGGGUUAAUACCCUGUGUGGAUGACGGUACCGGAAUAAGAAGCACCGGCUAACUACGUGCCAGCAGCCGCGGUAAUACGUAGGGUGCGAGCGUUAAUCGGAAUUACUGGGCGUAAAGCGUGCGCAGGCGGUUUGUUAAGAUAGGCGUGAAAUCCCCGGGCUCAACCUGGGAACUGCGUUUAUGACUGGCAGGCUAGAGUAUGGCAGAGGGGGGUGGAAUUCCACGUGUAGCAGUGAAAUGCGUAGAGAUGUGGAGGAACACCGAUGGCGAAGGCAGCCCCCUGGGCCAAUACUGACGCUCAUGCACGAAAGCGUGGGUAGCAAACAGGAUU
RNAcentral lists this ribosomal RNA (720 nucleotides) under uncultured bacterium. Its description in RNAcentral is "bacterial SSU rRNA". It matches the Rfam family "Bacterial small subunit ribosomal RNA", at positions 64 to 779 of the family's 1533-position model. The record is from RNAcentral.